RNAcentral lists this ribosomal RNA (253 nucleotides) under uncultured bacterium. RNAcentral's name for it is "partial 16S ribosomal RNA". It matches the Rfam family "Bacterial small subunit ribosomal RNA", at positions 524 to 776 of the family's 1533-position model. The record is from RNAcentral.
UACGUAGGUGGCAAGCGUUAUCCGGAUUUACUGGGUGUAAAGGGCGUGUAGGCGGGAAUGCAAGUCAGGUGUGAAAUUCCAGGGCUCAACCCUGGAACUGCACUUGAAACUGUAUUUCUUGAGUGAUGGAGAGGCAGGCGGAAUUCCGUGUGUAGCGGUGAAAUGCGUAGAUAUACGGAGGAACACCAGUGGCGAAGGCGGCCUGCUGGACAUUAACUGACGCUGAGGCGCGAAAGCGUGGGGAGCAAACAGG